This 220-nucleotide unclassified non-coding RNA is filed under the name Glomus sp. RNAcentral's name for it is "partial contains 5.8S ribosomal RNA and internal transcribed spacer 2". The stretch from base 1 to 65 matches the Rfam family "5.8S ribosomal RNA", at positions 84 to 154 of the family's 154-position model. Lineage: Eukaryota; Fungi; Glomeromycota; Glomeromycetes; Glomerales; Glomeraceae. The record is from RNAcentral.
GUGAAUCAUCGAAUUUUUGAACGCAAAUUGCACUCUCUUCGGAGAGUAUGCCUGUUUGAGGGUCAGCCUAAAAAAAAAAUCGACAUAGUUGCUGUUUCGCGGUGUCAUUCUUGGGAAAUUGGGUCAUCUUAAACCUUUGGUUUUUAAGCGUCUUAAAAUUUUCUUUCCGAUUCCCCGACUGCUUUUAAGAUUUACUUCUUCCACUUUUAGGGUAUCGAUU